AAUAAACAUAUCAGCCUUUCAGUCCUCCAUCUGAAAACAGUCGGAUUCAUCAGUGACUUCUUCUCUCAGAUUUGCACUGAUUUCUGACUACUUUGGAAACCUGCAGGACAGACCUGGCUCAGUGAAGAUGUGUCUGAAGAUGGACUCUGAGCUCUUAACAGACUUGAGGAGGAAGCAUUUGACAAGGAUCUGCUCCAAUCUGGUGGACAUGGAGGCUCAGACUGUUUCUGGGAUCAAGGCACAGCACAGCAGGAAGUCCAUCCACACAUAAAGAAGAAAGAUUUCCAGCCCUGAAUUUAUUGAUGGAUGGUCUUCACAAUACUUUCAAACUCAGAAAAUUAUAGGUUUGAUUAAGGAGCGCACAAAAAUUUCUCAAAUUAAAUUUGAAGCUAUUAUGAUAAUCAAUCUUUUAUUCUUGUUGUUAUAUGAUGACGUUUAGUGUUCAAAACAAAACAGCUUGUGUUAAUUAUGUUUGCAGGAUCAGUUCACACUCGGAGGACAAAGCAUCACUUUUCAAAAGGGUGAAAGGAAAGAAUGAACCACUGACACCCUGAUGGUAGAAAUGUUUUCUUGUCUAGUCUGACAUGCAGGUGAUUUUAUUUUUGCAGAUUCAG
Melanotaenia boesemani (Boeseman's rainbowfish) is the source of this 614-nucleotide long non-coding RNA. RefSeq lists it as uncharacterized. The record is from RefSeq and is a predicted model, not a curated record. The transcript is spliced from 3 exons. Lineage: Eukaryota; Metazoa; Chordata; Actinopteri; Atheriniformes; Melanotaeniidae.